GCCCCGGUAGCAUAAUUGGAUAAUGCUUUCCCCUCACUCAGGAAAUGAUGCGGGUUCGAAUCCCGCCUGGGGCG
Molecule: transfer RNA, 74 nt
Filed under: Candidatus Omnitrophota bacterium
Lineage: Bacteria; Pseudomonadati; Candidatus Omnitrophota
Description: tRNA-Val
Rfam family: tRNA
About the family: Transfer RNA (tRNA) molecules are approximately 80 nucleotides in length.
Source: RNAcentral